Molecule: small RNA, 176 nt
Filed under: uncultured Prevotella sp.
Lineage: Bacteria; Pseudomonadati; Bacteroidota; Bacteroidia; Bacteroidales; Prevotellaceae
Description: Bacteroidales-1 6S-Bacteroidales RNA suggested
Rfam family: Bacteroidales-1 6S-Bacteroidales RNA suggested
Source: RNAcentral
GUGCCGGUUAGAUUGGGAUACUCAUCAAAUAAUAAUGAAAACCGGGAUAAGUUCUUCUGCUAAUGGCGGGCCACAGCACCUCCGGGUGUAGCUGUAAAGUCGGUGGAUUACAAAGGUGGAGAACCCCCAAAGCUUGCUAAUAAGGAGUUUUCAUCACAUCAUCGGUACGGUCUUUU